CAGUUCUGGCCAUCCGCCCGGUGGUAGUUGUUUGCAGUGUUACUAUUGAUACCUGCAGGUAUCUGCUUAGUAACAUCUGUUGGUUGAGCUGCAGCAAUGGGCUUGGUGGAAGCCCCAGUAUUAGCAGCUGGUCCUUCGCUAGAAGAAGCUGGGGCAUUGUUUGGCGCCGGUUUGGGAGCCUCUCCACUCCCAAAAAGGUAGCCCAAUGAACUCUGUCCUCCACCACUGCUGACUCCUCGACCC
RNAcentral lists this long non-coding RNA (243 nucleotides) under Vitis vinifera (wine grape). Its description in RNAcentral is "long non-coding RNA (VVIN_LNC000005)". The record is from RNAcentral. Lineage: Eukaryota; Viridiplantae; Streptophyta; Magnoliopsida; Vitales; Vitaceae.